CAUUCAUCUACAUUUGGAGUGCCCAGCCUGGAGUUGGAAUACACCUACCAGAAUUUAAAGGAGGCACCCCCACCAUUAAGAGACACAUUGCACUUGAAGAGAGCCAGGAUUUUGGCUCCUGAACACGUGAGUGGUUCUUAAAUUCCCUUUUUAGUGUCUAUAGAAAUACUACACUAUAUAUUGCUCCUUUCCGCUUUUUGAC
Molecule: non-coding RNA, 202 nt
Organism: Pelobates cultripes (western spadefoot toad)
Lineage: Eukaryota; Metazoa; Chordata; Amphibia; Anura; Pelobatidae
Source: the annotation of a GenBank genome assembly